GUGCCAGCAGCCGCGGUAAUUCCAGCUCUGUAAGUGUGCUCCCAUAUUGUUGCAGUUAAAAAGCCCGUAGUCGGAUUUCAAUUGACUAAUUAUUCACUGUGAAUAAAUUAGGACGCUUAAAGUAUGGUUGCAUGAAUACUGUAGCGCAGUAUGAAAGAUUUUGCUCUUGUGGCAAGAUCAAAGAGAGCCAUUGGGGGUAUUUCUAUUUCAUGGCGAGCGGUGAAAUGCGUUGACCCAUGGGAGAGAAACGAAAGCGAAGGCAAAUACCCAAAGGGUUUCUGUCGAUCAAGGGCGAGAGUAGGGGGAGCGAACCGGAUCAGAGACCCGGGUAGUCCCUACUGUAAACGAUGUCGACAGGGGAUUGUCUACUAGUUAGGCAGAACCUUAGCAAAAAUGAUAGUUCAUGGACUCUGGGGGAACUACGACUGCAAGGCUGAAACUUGAAGGAAUUGACGGAAGGGCACACCAGGGGUGGAGCCUGUGGCCUAAUUUGAAUCAACACGGGGAAACUUACCAGAACCAGAUGAUUCGAUGACUUACAUCUAAAAGAGCUUUAAGGAUGGGUUUGAUGGUGGUGCAUGGCCGUUGGUGGUGCGUGGGUUGACCUGUCACGAGUCGAUUCAGUUAACGAGCGAGACUACCGCCAAAUAUUAGCCAAGCUAACUUUAGUGGAAGCUUCUAUUUGGGACUACCUGUUAUCAAGCGGGAGGAAGAGGGUAGCAAUAACAGGUCCGUGAUGUCCUUUAGAUGCUCUGGGCUGCACGCGUGCUACAAUGUGAAUCACAAAGGAUUUAAAAUCCGAAAGGAUGCAUUACUUCUUGAAAGAUUCACGUAGCUGGGAUUGACAUUUGGAAUCAUUGUCAUGAACCAGGAAUCCCUUGUAAAUGUAUGUCAACACCGUACGUUGAAUACGUCCCUGCCCUUUGUACACACCGCCCGUCGCUCCUACCGAUUGGACGUUUUGGUGAAAAUACUGGACUUCUUUGAAAGGUAUUUAAAUCAGCUCGUCUAGAGGAAGGAGAAGUCGUAACAAGGUAACGGUAGGUGAACCUG
RNAcentral lists this ribosomal RNA (1053 nucleotides) under Trichonympha agilis. RNAcentral's name for it is "SSU rRNA". It matches the Rfam family "Eukaryotic small subunit ribosomal RNA", at positions 564 to 1817 of the family's 1831-position model. The record is from RNAcentral. Lineage: Eukaryota; Parabasalia; Trichonymphida; Trichonymphidae.